AGUGAACGCUGGCGGUAGGCCUAACACAUGCAAGUCGAACGGCAGCACAGUAAGAGCUUGCUCUUACGGGUGGCGAGUGGCGGACGGGUGAGGAAUACAUCGGAAUCUACUUUUUCGUGGGGGAUAACGUAGGGAAACUUACGCUAAUACCGCAUACGACCUACGGGUGAAAGCAGGGGAUCUUCGGACCUUGCGCGAUUGAAUGAGCCGAUGUCGGAUUAGCUAGUUGGCGGGGUAAAGGCCCACCAAGGCGACGAUCCGUAGCUGGUCUGAGAGGAUGAUCAGCCACACUGGAACUGAGACACGGUCCAGACUCCUACGGGAGGCAGCAGUGGGGAAUAUUGGGCAAUGGGCGCAAGCCUGAUCCAGCCAUACCGCGUGGGUGAAGAAGGCCUUCGGGUUGUAAAGCCCUUUUGUUGGGAAAGAAGAGCAGCAGGUUAAUACCCCGCUGUUCUGACGGUACCCAAAGAAUAAGCACCGGCUAACUUCGUG
RNAcentral lists this ribosomal RNA (492 nucleotides) under uncultured bacterium. RNAcentral describes it as "partial 16S ribosomal RNA". It matches the Rfam family "Bacterial small subunit ribosomal RNA", at positions 29 to 507 of the family's 1533-position model. The record is from RNAcentral.